Molecule: transfer RNA, 85 nt
Filed under: Felis catus (domestic cat)
Lineage: Eukaryota; Metazoa; Chordata; Mammalia; Carnivora; Felidae
Rfam family: tRNA
About the family: Transfer RNA (tRNA) molecules are approximately 80 nucleotides in length. Their secondary structure includes four short double-helical elements and three loops (D, anti-codon, and T loops).
Source: Rfam by way of RNAcentral
ACCGGGGUGGCUCAAUCGGUUGAGCGUCUGACUUCAGCUCAGGUCAUGAUCUCAUGGUUCGUGGGUUCGAGCCCCAUGUCAGGCU